GAAUUUCCAGGUGUAGCGGUGAAAUGCGUAGAGAUCUGGAGGAAUACCGGUGGCGAAGGCGGCCCCCUGGACGAAGACUGACGCUCAGGUGCGAAAGCGUGGGGGAGCAACCAGGAUUAGAUACCCUGGUAGUCCACGCUGUAAACGAUGUCGAUUUGGAGGUUGUGCCCUUGAGGCGUGGCUUCCGGAGCUAACGCGUUAAAUCGCCCGCCUGGGGAGUACGGCCGCAAGGUUAAAACUCAAAUGAAUUGACGGGGGCCCGCACAAGCGGUGGAACAUGUGGUUUAAUUCGAUGCAACGCGAAGAACCUUACCUACUCUUGACAUCCAGAGAACUUUCCAGAGAUGGAUUGGUCCCUUCGGGAACUCUGAGACAGGUGCUGCAUGGCUGUCGUCAGCUCGUGUUGUGAAAUGUUGGGUUAAGUCCCGCAACGAGCCCAACCCUUAUCCUUUGUUGCCACCGGUUCGGCCGGGAACUCAAAGGAGACUGCCAGUGAUAAACUGGAGGAAGGUGGGGAUGACGUCAAGUCAUCAUGGCCCUUACGAGUAGGGCUACACACGUGCUACAAUGGCGUAUACAAAGAGAAGCGACCUCGCGAGAGCAAGCGCACCUCAUAAAGUACGUCGUAGUCCGGAUUGGAGUCUGCAACUCGACUCCAUGAAGUCGGAAUCGCUAGUAAUCGUAGAUCAGAAUGCUACGGUGAAUACGUUCCCGGGCCUUGUACACACCGCCCGUCACACCAUGGGAGUGGGUUGCAAAAGAAGUAGGUAGCUUAAC
RNAcentral lists this ribosomal RNA (777 nucleotides) under Serratia marcescens. RNAcentral's name for it is "bacterial SSU rRNA". It matches the Rfam family "Bacterial small subunit ribosomal RNA", at positions 664 to 1439 of the family's 1533-position model. The record is from RNAcentral. Lineage: Bacteria; Pseudomonadati; Pseudomonadota; Gammaproteobacteria; Enterobacterales; Yersiniaceae.